AUUGAACGCUGGCGGCAGGCCUAACACAUGCAAGUCGAGCGGAUGAGGGGAGCUUGCUCCUGGAUUCAGCGGCGGACGGGUGAGUAAUGCCUAGGAAUCUGCCUGGUAGUGGGGGAUAACGUCCGGAAACGGGCGCUAAUACCGCAUACGUCCUGAGGGUGAAAGUGGGGGAUCUUCGGACCUCACGCUAUCAGAUGAGCCUAGGUCGGAUUAGCUAGUUGGCGGGGUAAAGGCCUACCAAGGCGACGAUCCGUAACUGGUCUGAGAGGAUGAUCAGUCACACUGGAACUGAGACACGGUCCAGACUCCUACGGGAGGCAGCAGUGGGGAAUAUUGGACAAUGGGCGAAAGCCUGAUCCAGCCAUGCCGCGUGUGUGAAGAAGGUCUUCGGAUUGUAAAGCACUUUAAGUUGGGAGGAAGGGCAGUAAGUUAAUACCUUGCUGUUUUGACGUUACCAACAGAAUAAGCACCGGCUAACUUCGUG
Molecule: ribosomal RNA, 484 nt
Filed under: uncultured bacterium
Lineage: Bacteria
Description: partial 16S ribosomal RNA
Rfam family: Bacterial small subunit ribosomal RNA
Source: RNAcentral